CCUAAAAGUAAAAACCUAAUAUGAAAAUUCUAGGAAACAAUUGUCCGAACAAAGAAAAACUAUGGAGUCGUCUCUGGAUUUAGGCGAAACUGAAACGAAUACAAUCGAUUCUUUAGAAGGAAGACAAGAAAUGUCAUCGUCGUAUGCAGAUUUACAAAAUGUGACGCUCACGGCGGCCGAAAAGGAUCAGAACUCACUUCCAUGUUAUUUUGAAGAAAAAACGCCCAAAACA
Molecule: long non-coding RNA, 232 nt
Organism: Leptidea sinapis
Lineage: Eukaryota; Metazoa; Arthropoda; Insecta; Lepidoptera; Pieridae
Exons: 3
Source: RefSeq, a predicted model, not a curated record